CCAGGAAGUGAACAAGAGCCGUUUGACAGAUACGAUGUUUACUGUAGUUUAACACCGUUAACUGUAGUUUAACACCGCAAACUGGAGCGCCAUUAGUUGUUAGACCAACUGUCGCUAACACGGGAGCGAUAAUGCAGAAUCUGCGGAAACGUCGAAGCAACGAUACGACAACUCAAAGCACUCCUGGCCCUUUGAAGGUAAAUGUGCCCCGGCAGAAGAGGUCGCGUUUCCACUGUGACCUGUGGUUCUGUCUGACUCUGCAGAACUGGAUACUGGACUUUGGAAGACCUAUCGUCAUGAUAACCCUUCCUCUGGAGUGGUUUCCCCUGAACAAGCCAGUGCUGGAGACUAUUUUCCACAUGGCCUACAACGUCAUAACACCGUUCCUCAUGCUCAAGCUGAUUGAGCGCAGCCCCAGGGAGCUGCCUCGUUCGGCGGUCUACCUCUGCAUCAUCACGUUCGUGAUGGGAGCCAGCAUCCACCUGGUGGGAGACUCCAUCAACCAUCGGCUCAUCCUGAGUGGCUACCAGCUCCACCUGUCAGUCAGAGAGAACCCCAUCAUCAAAGACCUCAAACCUGCCUCACUGAUCGACUCCUUCGAGCUGCUGUAUUAUUACGACGAACACCUGGGACACCUGAUGUGCCCCGCCAGGUUUGCGUCAUCCCUUCACAAAGAAAUACUUGAAGCUGACCGGUACCAGUCGACAAUACCGUUUCUGCCUCUUGUGUUGUUGAAGGUAUAUUCCGUUCUUCGCCAUUCUGUUCCUCUACUUCACCGGCUGCUUCACCAAGGCCGAGGAGGAGAAGAGGCUGCCUGUCUCCGGCCGCCUGUUGCUGGGACCCAGCGCUCUCUACUAUUGGUACCUGGUCACCGAAGGACAAAUCACUGAACUCUUCCUCCUCACCUUCCUCGCCAUGGUUGUCAUGGUGAUUCAUCAACACCGUAAAGGCCUCAGUCCAGACAGCAAUGGCCUGUUCCUGUUCUGCAGUUUCAGCGUCACCGUGCUCCUGGUUGCACUGUGGGUGGUUUAUCUGUGGAACGAUCCGGUGUUGCGCAACAAGUACCCCGGACUCAUUUAUGUGCCGGAGCCUUGGUCCUACUACACCUUACACAUCAAGCAGAACCACUGAGUCGCUCCAGGUCACUCCAGCAGACUUCCCGUGACGGAGGUAGCGGCUGCACUCGGACGACGAUGACGAUCCGUGAAGGCUGUCGAUGGCGUUGAAGGUUCUGCUGCCUUCAGCCGUACGUUCAGGAGAAGAUUUUGUCUCCUCGGUUUCGUUCUAUAUCGCGAGGGAGACUUUGAACAGGUUGGAGUUGUUUAUGUUCGGUCUGAAUUUGGACAUUCGGUCAGAUCUGUAAAAACUGUUUGGAAUCUCGUGACAUCUGAGACUAAGAGAGAUCCAUUUAAGGACGAGCACCAUGUGUAAUGUCAACAGAUACUUUAUAUGGGGCCCGAAACGAGAAAGGGGGCCUCAACGUUGGGUAAAAAUGCAGCAGCCAAUUUAGGGCCAUUUUAAUGUGUCAGUUUACAUUUUGCUAUAGUUAUGCAUAUUAAAAAUAUAAACUUUAAUUCAUAAAAUGACCUCAAAAUAAACUUCACUGAGUCUUUCGGGGCCCUGAGGGUUUGGGAUCCAGGUACAACCUAAAUUGUCAAUGAAAGAAGUAAUUACUUCUGAGAUACAAAUGAAAUCAUUUCUUUAUGAACUGAAUUUAACUGAUACGUUGUUACUUUGAUUAGUUUAGUUAUAUUUAUAUAUAUAGUUAUAUUUCUCAAUGUCAAAUUGUAAUUGUUACUGUUUUUUUGUACAGUAUUGUUCCUUUGCUUAAGAUCACUUUGUUGUUGGUAAAAUACUGUUUCCUCAUUAAAUGUAUGUUAUCUUAAUUAAAACGUUG
RNA transcript from Cyclopterus lumpus (lumpfish), 1897 nucleotides. It is a transcript of the gene named CLN6 transmembrane ER protein a, with no coding region annotated. The record is from RefSeq and is a predicted model, not a curated record. NCBI's taxonomy places the organism in Eukaryota, Metazoa, Chordata, Actinopteri, Perciformes, Cyclopteridae. The transcript has 8 exons.